GUGCCUCUGAUUGCUUAUUGCACCACAUGUGUUUUUCUUUGAAACAAACUUGCUUUGGCGGUGGGCCCAGCCUGCCGCCAGAGGUCUAAACUUACAACCAAUUUUUUAUUAACUUGUCACACCAGAUUAUUACUAAAUAGUCAAAACUUUCAACAACGGAUCUCUUGGUUCUCGCAUCGAUGAAGAACGCAGCGAAAUGCGAUACGUAAUAUGAAUUGCAGAUAUUCGUGAAUCAUCGAAUCUUUGAACGCACAUUGCGCCCUCUGGUAUUCCGGAGGGCAUGCCUGUUUGAGCGUCGUUUCUCCCUCAAACCGCUGGGUUUGGUGUUGAGCAAUACGACUUGGGUUUGCUUGAAAGACGGUAGUGGUAAGGCGGGAUCGCUUUGACAAUGGCUUAGGUCUAACCAAAAACAUUGCUUGCGGCGGUAACGUCUACCACGUAUAUCUUCAAACUUUGACCUCAAAUCAGGUAGGACUACCCGCUGAACUUAAGCAUAUCAAAAGGCGGAGGAA
This 512-nucleotide ribosomal RNA is filed under the name Candida albicans. RNAcentral describes it as "eukaryotic LSU rRNA". The stretch from base 145 to 298 matches the Rfam family "5.8S ribosomal RNA". The record is from RNAcentral. Lineage: Eukaryota; Fungi; Ascomycota; Pichiomycetes; Serinales; Debaryomycetaceae.